This 253-nucleotide ribosomal RNA is filed under the name Ectopseudomonas mendocina. RNAcentral describes it as "Pseudomonas mendocina partial 16S ribosomal RNA". It matches the Rfam family "Bacterial small subunit ribosomal RNA", at positions 1 to 256 of the family's 1533-position model. Lineage: Bacteria; Pseudomonadati; Pseudomonadota; Gammaproteobacteria; Pseudomonadales; Pseudomonadaceae. The record is from RNAcentral.
GAACUGAAGAGUUUGAUCAUGGCUCAGAUUGAACGCUGGCGGCAGGCCUAACACAUGCAAGUCGAGCGGAUGACGGGAGCUUGCUUCCUGAUUUAGCGGCGGACGGGAGAGUAAUGCCUAGGAAUCUGCCGGGUAGUGGGGGAUAACGUUCCGAAAGGAACGCUAAUACCGCAUACGUCCUACGGGAGAAAGCAGGGGACCUUCGGGCCUUGCGCACGAAGCUACGCCUAGGUCGGAUUAGCUAGUGGGUGAG